AUCGCUAACCCUCCGUAGCGAACGAAACGCAACUGUCACUGUCACACUAAUAUGGAAGAGUGAUAGAGAGACACAAAGCGAUUCGAUGGCGAAGGAAAAGUCCAUAUCUUUAAAGAACCGUAAAUAAUUAAUGACCAUGGUUUUUCGCACAUGAUAAUUUUAUUUACGGCCGUGACUAAACAACGAAACAAAUAUAAUUGUACACGCUUUAGUUAGUUGAUUAAAUCGCGCGGUAUAUAAAACCUGCGCGGGAGUGGAUCUCUCAUACGGCACCAUGAAGUGGCUUUUGGCGUUCUGUGUGGUCGUCGCACUAGUUUGCACGGCGCUGGGUCAAGAUUACCACAGCCGUUAUGCCGAGCUAGCGUCCCCAGUACCCAGAAACGUAGACGUACGUCAACUGGUCGACACCCUAAGAUCCGCUCAAAGGGAGUAGCUCCAUAUAGUACCACGGCGCCCGCCAUCUUGUUUCAAUCCGCCAUCUUGAAUUACCUGACCGUGGUUUGCUUGUAUUCGGAUAUGUCCCACUAGAUAUAAAUUUGGAAAUUAUUUUAGUAUGUAAGUAGAUAUAUUAUUGUUAUUGGCGAUGUUUUUGAUGUAUUUGUAUUUAUUGUAUUAAAGUUACGAGGUGUGCUUUAGUCGAACAAA
Long non-coding RNA from Cydia splendana, 645 nucleotides. RefSeq lists it as uncharacterized. NCBI's taxonomy places the organism in Eukaryota, Metazoa, Arthropoda, Insecta, Lepidoptera, Tortricidae. The transcript is spliced from 2 exons. The record is from RefSeq and is a predicted model, not a curated record.